CCUACGGGUGGCAGCAGUGGGGAAUAUUGCACAAUGGGGGAAACCCUGAUGCAGCGACGCCGCGUGAGUGAAGAAGUAAUUCGUUAUGUAAAGCUCUAUCAGCAGGGAAGAAAAUGACGGUACCUGAGUAAGAAGGCACGGCUAACUACGUGCCAGCAGCCGCCGUAAUACGUAGGGGGCAAGGGUAAUCCGGAUUUAGUGGGUGUAAAGGGAGCGUAGAGGGCAGUGCAGGUCUGGAGUGAAAGGCGGGGGCUCCACCCCCGUACUGCUCUGGAAACGGUACGGCUGGAGUGCAGGAGAGGUAAGUGGAAUUCCUAGUGUAGCGGUUAAAUGCGUAGAUAUUAGGAGGAACUCCAGUGGCGAAGGCGGCUUACUGGCCUGUAACUGACGUUGAGGCUCGAAAGCGUGGGGAGCAAACAGGAUUAGAUACCCCUGUAGUC
RNAcentral lists this ribosomal RNA (440 nucleotides) under uncultured bacterium. RNAcentral describes it as "partial 16S ribosomal RNA". It matches the Rfam family "Bacterial small subunit ribosomal RNA", at positions 338 to 795 of the family's 1533-position model. The record is from RNAcentral.